AAAUGACCUCCCUGUAGACGAGCGAUUUCUGGAGGACAAGAGAAUUGACUUUGAGGCAUCUCUGGCCAAGGGGCUGGCAGAACUCGCUAUCAAAGAUAGUUUAAAUAUCUUGGCGAACUGGAAUAAUGUGGAUGACUUCAACAGGAUUUUCUGGUGUGGCCCAAGCAAGCUGGCUGUGCAGGUGCGGGACUCCUGGAAGGAGGA
Long non-coding RNA from Tupaia belangeri chinensis (Chinese tree shrew), 204 nucleotides. RefSeq lists it as uncharacterized. The transcript has 3 exons. NCBI's taxonomy places the organism in Eukaryota, Metazoa, Chordata, Mammalia, Scandentia, Tupaiidae. The record is from RefSeq and is a predicted model, not a curated record.